UUGUCAUUCUUUUUCUAGAUUUAUGCAAAUUGUUAAAAUAUCAUUGUGCCAAGUUUCUCUUGUUGGCAGAUGUUAGUACUGUUUGGUGGACUGGCUAUCCUUCUUAUAUUUAAUCUCAAAUUUUACAUGACGCAAAUAAUAUGCACAAGUCACCCGAUUCAAUCAACUCCCUUCUCUCGAUUCAAUCAACUCCCUCACAGCUACCAUCGCCUCUUGACACAGGAAGCUCCACUGCGAUCCACCAUCGAUAGCGCCAAUCUACCUCUUCUGUCACCGCCAUCUACACCACACAGUUCGAUAACCGUAUUCACAACCGCCACAACCUUGAUAUUGAAUCUACUUGUGCCUUAGACUACUAAGUAUCAGUAUCAGCUUAACUAUUCUUAGUAAUAGAUUGGAAAAUAGACCUAUCAAGUUUUGACCCAAUAAAGCUCUGAAUACCUAUAUUGAAACUCAAAGAAAACUAGAGAAAAAAAAACAGUCACAGCUAAAACAAGUCAAGGAGAAGACAACUACCUAUUUUUUGAAUACAAGGUCAUCAUUGAAGAUGUAAAUUGAAGUGGGUGUAUCUUUCAGUUUCAUCUGACAAAGGGUUUAGAAAUUGUCUUUUCUUUACUAUUUAUUGUAAUGGAAUAAUGUGGUCCAUUACAUGUGAUGGAACCCAGUAUUGUGUUUGUAUUUUCUUAUGAUCGUGUUUUUAAACUACAAGUUUUAUCUGGUUUAGGUUUAUAUUGCUUGAAAUGGCUCCAUAUUUCUGUAUUGCAGGAGUGUUGUUUUCCAUGCCACUCCUAAUGGUCCGAAUAUUGUUGGUUCAACAUUUUUGUUAGUAGAUUUGAUCUACCUCAUGGUUGUCGUUAGUUGAAUUGUCUUUAAACUUUUCUAUCUUUUGUUUUUUUUUUUUAAAUUAGGUGGGUAUAAGUUUUGAUUUAAUAAUUGUCAUGUUCUGUGUUUCUUAUGACUCAAUUAGUUUAAUUUUUGGAUGUUAUUAAUUUGGCAUAUAAUUUUUCAAGCUGGGUUGCUUGUUAUUUUGUUCUUACAAGCUCAAUAAGCACUAUAGACC
This is a long non-coding RNA of Cannabis sativa, 1060 nucleotides long. RefSeq lists it as uncharacterized. NCBI's taxonomy places the organism in Eukaryota, Viridiplantae, Streptophyta, Magnoliopsida, Rosales, Cannabaceae. The record is from RefSeq and is a predicted model, not a curated record. The transcript is spliced from 3 exons.